CCUACGGGUGGCAGCAGUGGGGAAUAUUGGACAAUGGGGGAAACCCUGAUCCAGCGACGCCGCGUGAGUGAAGAAGUAUUUCGGUACGUAAAGCUCUUUCAGCAGGAAAGAACAUGACGGUACCUGACUAAGAAGCCCCGGCUAACUACGUGCCAGCAGCAGCGGUAAUACGUAGGGGGCAAGCGUUAUCCGGAUCUACGGGGCGUAAAGGGAGCGUAGACGGCAGCCCGAGUCUGGAGGGAAACGCCGGGGCCCAACCCCGGAACAGCGCUGGAAACUGGGAAGCUGGAGUGCAGGAGAGGUAAGCGGAAUUCCUGGUGUAGCGGUGAAAUGCGUAGAGAGCAGGAGGAACAACGGCGGCGAAGGCGGCUUACUGGACUGUAACUGACGUUGAGGCUCGAAGGCGUGGGGAGCAAACAGGAGUAGAUACCCGAGUAGUC
This 440-nucleotide ribosomal RNA is filed under the name uncultured bacterium. Its description in RNAcentral is "partial 16S ribosomal RNA". It matches the Rfam family "Bacterial small subunit ribosomal RNA", at positions 338 to 795 of the family's 1533-position model. The record is from RNAcentral.